AUGGCUGCACCCGCGCUGGCCAAGCGCCCCUGCAGCAGCCCCUCCUCCUCCGCUUCUUGCCGCGAGGCCAAGCGGCUCCGCCCGGCGGCGGCGCCGGUGGCCAUGGAGAGGCACGACGCCGCUGCCGCUGCUGAGGUGUCGACGACGACGUCGCAGUCGCAGUCGCAGCCGCUGCUCCCGGGCCUGCCGGACCACCUCGCGCAGCUCUGCCUCUCGACGCUCCCGCCGAGCCUCAUGCACGCCGUCUGCCGCCCGUGGCGCCGGCUGCUGUACGCGCCGUCGUUCCCGCCGUUCUUGUCCCUGUACGCGCUCCUCGAGGACGCCGGCGACGGCGGCGCGUCCUUCGCGGCCUACGACCCGAUCGCCGCGCGGUGGGACUGUCUGCCGGCGCCGCCGAUGCCGUCGCCGCCCCCGACCCUCUGCCACCCGUCGUUUCUCUCCCGCCGGCUGCCGCUCCAGUCCGUGGCCGCGGCGGGGCAGCUCGUCCUCGUCGCAGGGUCCACGCAGUCGCUCCACCCGGCGCUGUGCCGUCCGCUCGUCUUCGACCCGACCGCCGCGCCCGCGCCGCGAUGGCAGGUCGGCCCGCGGGUCCCGCUCGCCCCGCGCAGGUGGUGCGCGGCGGGGGCGGCGAGGGGGCGCGUGUUCGUCGCGGGCGGCGUGGGCGCCGGGUACGACCUCGCCGUCGCGCGCUCCGGGGCGACAUGGGACCCCGCCACGCCGUCUGCGCCGUGGGAGCCGCUCCCGCCGCUGCGGGACGGGCGGUUCAGCCGUGACGCGGCCGAGGCCGUGUGCUCGGGCGGGAAGGUCUGCAUGGUCAACCUCCGCGGCAGCGGCGCCAAGGAGGGCGCGGUGUUCGACCUCGUGGCCGGGCGGUGGGAGGACAUGCCGCCCGGCAUGCUGGCCGGGUGGAAGGGCCCCGCCGCGGCGUCCCCGGACAGCGGCGACACGAUCUUCGUCGUGGACGAGGAGCGCGGCGCGCUCAACACCUACGACUGGGGAUCCGACCGGUGGACAACGGUCACGGAGGCGGAGCGGCUCAAGGGCGCGGCAGAGAUGGCAGCCGGCGGCGGCAGGGUGUGCGUCGUGUCCCACGGCGGCGCGAAGGUGGUGGUCGUGGACGUGACGCCCAAGGCGAGGACGAGGGGCUCCACGACGGCGCCGCCGCGCAUGUGGGAGGUGGAGGCGCCGGCCGGGCGGUGGGUGGUCUCGCUGCACGUGCUGCCCAGGAUGACGCGCCCCGAGUAG
RNAcentral lists this ribosomal RNA (1245 nucleotides) under Triticum aestivum (bread wheat). RNAcentral describes it as "partial small subunit ribosomal RNA". Lineage: Eukaryota; Viridiplantae; Streptophyta; Magnoliopsida; Poales; Poaceae. The record is from RNAcentral.